Molecule: small RNA, 73 nt
Filed under: Sphingomonas pseudosanguinis
Lineage: Bacteria; Pseudomonadati; Pseudomonadota; Alphaproteobacteria; Sphingomonadales; Sphingomonadaceae
Description: suhB
Rfam family: Makes More Granules Regulator RNA (mmgR)
About the family: SuhB later renamed mmgR (makes more granules regulator) was a putative non-coding RNA found multiple times in the Agrobacterium tumefaciens genome and related alpha-proteobacteria.
Source: RNAcentral
GGAUCGGGCCUUUCAGGCAUCCUCUCCUAAAAACUUUUGGCCGGUCGCAAGACCGGCCUUUUUUUUGGCCUCG